This 70-nucleotide transfer RNA is filed under the name Ranacris albicornis. RNAcentral's name for it is "tRNA-Thr". It matches the Rfam family "tRNA". From Rfam's summary of the family: Transfer RNA (tRNA) molecules are approximately 80 nucleotides in length. The record is from RNAcentral. Lineage: Eukaryota; Metazoa; Arthropoda; Insecta; Orthoptera; Acrididae.
GUUUUAAUAGUUUAAAAAAACAUCGGUUUUGUAAGCCGAAAUUAAGCUGGCCCCCCCCUCUUUUAAAACU